Molecule: ribosomal RNA, 565 nt
Filed under: uncultured Glomeromycotina
Lineage: Eukaryota; Fungi; Glomeromycota
Description: SSU rRNA
Rfam family: Eukaryotic small subunit ribosomal RNA
Source: RNAcentral
UUGGAGGGCAAGUCUGGUGCCAGCAGCCGCGGUAAUUCCAGCUCCAAUAGCGUAUAUUAAAGUUGUUGCAGUUAAAAAGCUCGUAGUUGAAUUUCGGGGUUAGUAGGUUGGUCAUGCCACUGGUAUGUACUGGUCUCACUGAUUCCUCCUUCCUGAUGAGCCGUAAUGCCAUUAAUUUGGUGUUGCGAGGAAUCUGGACUGUUACUUUGAAAAAAUUAGAGUGUUUAAAGCAGGCUCACACUUGAAUACAUUAGCAUGGAAUAACGAAAUAGGACGUUUGAUUCUAUUUUGUUGGUUUCUAGGAUCGACGUAAUGAUUAAUAGGGAUAGUUGGGGGCAUUAGUAUUCAAUUGUCAGAGGUGAAAUUCUUGGAUUUAUUGAAGACUAACUACUGCGAAAGCAUUUGCCAAGGAUGUUUUCAUUAAUCAAGAACGAAAGUUAGGGGAUCGAAGACGAUCAGAUACCGUCGUAAUCUUAACCAUAAACUAUGCCGACUAGGGAUCGGAUGAUGUUAAUUUUUUAAUGACUCAUUCGGCGCCUUACGGGAAACCAAAGUGUUUGGGUUC